RNAcentral lists this ribosomal RNA (1183 nucleotides) under metagenome. RNAcentral describes it as "SSU rRNA". It matches the Rfam family "Eukaryotic small subunit ribosomal RNA", at positions 483 to 1700 of the family's 1831-position model. The record is from RNAcentral.
AGACCGUUCUCUUCAGAGGCCGGUCAUUGGAAUGGGUACAAUUUAAACCCUUUAACGAGUAUCUAUGAGAGGGCAAGUCUGGUGCCAGCAGCCGCGGUAAUUCCAGCUCUCAAAAUGCAUAGAAUCAUUGCUGCGGUUAAAAAGCUCGUAGUUGGAUCUGUGCUGGCGGGUCGGUCCACCUUCGGGUGCGCACUGAUUUCGCCGGCUUUCCUGCUGUAUUUGGCCCUGUGCCUUUCAACGGGUGCAGUGUCCAGUGCAGCAAGUUUACCUUGAACAAAUCAGAGUGCUUCAAACAGGCGUUUCGCUUGAAUGUUCGUGCAUGGAAUAAUAGAAGAGGAUUUCGGUUCUAUUUUAUUGGUUUUAUAGACUGAGAUAAUGGUUAACAGAGACUAACGGGGGCAUUAGUAUUGCUACGUGAGAGGUGAAAUUCUUGGACCGUAGCAAGACUGACUACAGCGAAAGCAUUUGCCAAGAAAGUCUUCAUUAAUCAAGAACGAAAGUCAGAGGUUCGAAGGCGAUCAGAUACCGCCCUAGUUCUGACCGUAAACGAUGCCAACUAGUGAUCCGCCGGUGGAACAUUCGCCCUGGUGGGGAACUUCCCGGAAACGAAAGUCUUCCGGUUCCGGGGGAAGUAUGGUUGCAAAGCUGAAACUUAAAGGAAUUGACGGAAGGGCACCACCAGGAGUGGAGCCUGCGGCUUAAUUUGACACAACACGGGAAAACUCACCCGGCCCGGACACCGUAAGGAUUGACAGAUUGAUAGCUCUUUCAUGAUUCGGUGGAUGGUGGUGCAUGGCCGUUCUUAGUUCGUGGAGCGAUUUGUCUGGUUUAUUCCGAUAACGAGCGAGACUCUGGCCUACUAAAUAGUUUACACAUUGCUUCUGUGUGCAUAACUUCUUAGAGGGAUUUUCGGUGUUCAGCCGCAAGAAAUUGAGCAAUAACAGGUCUGUGAUGCCCUUAGAUGUCCGGGGCUGCACGCGCGCUACACUGGCAAAAUCAGCGUGCUUGUCCUUCCCCGAAAGGGGUUGGUAAACUCGUGAAAAUUUGCCGUGAUUGGGAUCGGAAAUUGCAAUUAUUUUCCGUGAACGAGGAAUUCCAAGUAAGUGCGAGUCAUCAACUCGCGUUGAUUACGUCCCUGCCCUUUGUACACACCGCCCGUCGCUGCCCGGGACCGAGCCGUUUC